This 332-nucleotide long non-coding RNA is filed under the name Homo sapiens (human). RNAcentral's name for it is "non-protein coding lnc-SIRT4-4:1". Lineage: Eukaryota; Metazoa; Chordata; Mammalia; Primates; Hominidae. The record is from RNAcentral.
AAGCCAUCCGUGGAACUAGAGGUGGCAAUUUAUUAAAUCAGAAUUACCCUAGCCUGCCGCAACAUCAAAUCUCUGGAGAAGGUGUGUGCUGACUUGAUCAGAGGUGCAAAGGAAAAGAAUCUCAAAGUGAAGGAUCAGUUCAGAUGCCUAUCAAGACUCUGAGAAUCACUAUAAGAAAAACGCCUCGUGAUGAAGGUUCUAGGACAAGGGAUCGUUUCCAGAUGAGAAUCCGCAAGUGACUCACUGACCUGGAUGGUCCUCCCGAGAUUGCUAAGCAGAUUACGUCCAUCUGUACUGAGCUGAGAUUCAAGGUUAAAGUCACCACUGCAGAU